This 541-nucleotide ribosomal RNA is filed under the name uncultured bacterium. Its description in RNAcentral is "bacterial SSU rRNA". It matches the Rfam family "Bacterial small subunit ribosomal RNA", at positions 777 to 1321 of the family's 1533-position model. The record is from RNAcentral.
AAUAGAUACCCUGGUAGUCCACGCCCUAAACGAUGUCAACUAGCUGUUGGGGCCUUCGGGCCUUGGUAGCGCAGCUAACGCGUGAAGUUGACCGCCUGGGGAGUACGGUCGCAAGAUUAAAACUCAAAGGAAUUGACGGGGACCCGCACAAGCGGUGGAUGAUGUGGAUUAAUUCGAUGCAACGCGAAAAACCUUACCUACCCUUGACAUGUCUGGAAUCCCGAAGAGAUUUGGGAGUGCUCGCAGGAGAACCGGAACACAGGUGCUGCAUGGCUGUCGUCAGCUCGUGUCGUGAGAUGUUGGGUUAAGUCCCGCAACGAGCGCAACCCUUGUCAUUAGUUGCUACGAAAGGGCACUCUAAUGAGACUGCCGGUGACAAACCGGAGGAAGGUGGGGAUGACGUCAAGUCCUCAUGGCCCUUAUGGGUAGGGCUUCACACGUCAUACAAUGGUCGGGACAGAGGGUCGCCAACCCGGCGAGGGGGAGCCAAUCCCAGGAAACCCGAUCGUAGUCCGGAUUGCAGUCUGCAACUCGACUGCGU